CCCUUAGAUGUUCUGGGCCGCACGCGCGCUACACUGAUGCAUUCAACGAGCCUAUCCUUGACCGACAGGUCCGGGUAAUCUUUGAAUCUGCAUCGUGACGGGGAUAGAUUAUUGCAAUUAUUAAUCUUCAACGAGGAAUGCCUAGUAGGCGCAAGUCAUCAGCUUGCGUCGAUUACGUCCCUGCCCUUUGUACACACCGCCCGUCGCUCCUACCGAUUGGGUGUGCUGGUGAAAUUUUCGGAUCGGCCGUUUGUCGCGGUUUCCGCGGCUCGUGGCUGAGAAGUUCAUUAAACCCUCCCACCUAGAGGAAGGAGAAGUCGUAACA
This 325-nucleotide ribosomal RNA is filed under the name uncultured eukaryote. Its description in RNAcentral is "partial 18S ribosomal RNA". It matches the Rfam family "Eukaryotic small subunit ribosomal RNA", at positions 1470 to 1796 of the family's 1831-position model. The record is from RNAcentral.